GGGGGUCCAAGGUGAUUUUCCAAGGAAUAUAAUUCAUUUUCCCAAGGUCCAUCUCCAUAUAUUACUUCUCGCAUUCCAUCUCCCUCUCUUCUGCGUGGAUCCUUACUAAAUCCUCCUUCCCUUUCUAUCANAAUAUUCUUCCCUGCACCAUCAUUAGCUACGCCUAUAUCUCUCUGGCGAAUUUUGCAUGCGUAUAUUAACAA
Molecule: ribosomal RNA, 203 nt
Filed under: Vibrio sp. IS2205
Lineage: Bacteria; Pseudomonadati; Pseudomonadota; Gammaproteobacteria; Vibrionales; Vibrionaceae
Description: partial 16S ribosomal RNA
Source: RNAcentral